This 276-nucleotide ribosomal RNA is filed under the name uncultured prokaryote. RNAcentral's name for it is "partial 16S ribosomal RNA". It matches the Rfam family "Bacterial small subunit ribosomal RNA", at positions 524 to 797 of the family's 1533-position model. The record is from RNAcentral.
CACGUAGGAGGCAAACGUUAUCCGGAUUUACUGGGCGUAAAGCGCGUGUAGGUGGUUCUGUAAGUAGGGCGUGAAAGCUCCCGGCUCAACUGGGAGAGGCCGUUCUAAACUGCAGAGCUAGAGGAUGGUAGAGGGAGGUGGAAUUCCAGGUGUAGCGGUGGAAUGCGCAGAUAUCUGGAGGAACACCAGUGGCGAAGGCGGCCUCCUGGACCAUUCCUGACACUCAGACGCGAAAGCUAGGGUAGCAAACGGGAUUAGAUACCCGGGUAGGUCCCU